This 253-nucleotide ribosomal RNA is filed under the name uncultured bacterium. RNAcentral describes it as "partial 16S ribosomal RNA". It matches the Rfam family "Bacterial small subunit ribosomal RNA", at positions 524 to 776 of the family's 1533-position model. The record is from RNAcentral.
UACGAAGGGGGCUAGCGUUGCUCGGAAUUACUGGGCGUAAAGGGCGCGUAGGCGGCCUUCUAAGUCAGACGUGAAAUCCCCCGGCUUAACCUGGGAACUGCGUCUGAUACUGGGAGGCUUGAGUAUGGGAGAGGGAUGUAGAAUUCCAGGUGUAGCGGUGAAAUGCGUAGAUAUCUGGAGGGAUACCGGUGGCGAAGGCGGCAUCCUGGACCAUAACUGACGCUGAGGCGCGAAAGCUAGGGGAGCAAACGGG